This is a long non-coding RNA of Acanthopagrus latus (yellowfin seabream), 311 nucleotides long. RefSeq lists it as uncharacterized. The record is from RefSeq and is a predicted model, not a curated record. Lineage: Eukaryota; Metazoa; Chordata; Actinopteri; Spariformes; Sparidae. The transcript has 2 exons.
GUCACUUUCCUCACCACCACGCUAUGCCUGCUCGGUAAACAUUGGUCCGAUGGCCGCUGGUGUCCUGUUUUUUUGUGGGUGUGUAAACACGGAAGCAGCCUGACAGAGAGGAGUGGUCAUAUUACUUGUGGCCGAGCUGUUACAUUGUGCAGAGAAAGGUUCCCUCUCGUUUCAGUUCCAACGUGUACCUAAAGACAAGCUUGAAUGCAUCCUGCAGCAAACUUGUGCUGAAGACUGGCACCCACCCUCCGUCUAAGAAAGGGGCUUAUCGAUAUUACUUUCUUUCAUACAAUACAGGUUUGAUAAAAUGA